This 465-nucleotide ribosomal RNA is filed under the name uncultured bacterium. Its description in RNAcentral is "partial 16S ribosomal RNA". It matches the Rfam family "Bacterial small subunit ribosomal RNA", at positions 28 to 507 of the family's 1533-position model. The record is from RNAcentral.
GACGAACGCUGGCGGCGUGCUUAACACAUGCAAGUCGAACGGAAAGGCCCUGCUUGCAGGGUACUCGAGUGGCGAACGGGUGAGUAACACGUGGGUGAUCUGCCCUGCACUUCGGGAUCAGCCUGGGAAACUGGGUCUAAUACCGGAUAUGAGCCAUUUUUAGUGUGAUGGUUGGAAAGUUUUUUCGGUGUAGGAUGAGCUCGCGGCCUAUCAGCUUGUUGGUGGGGUAAUGGCCUACCAAGGCGGCGACGGGUAGCCGGCCUGAGAGGGUGGACGGCCACAAUGGGGCUGAGAUUCGGCCCAGACUCCUACGGGAGGGAGCAGGGGGGAAUAUUGCACAAUGGGCGCAAGCCUGAUGCAACGACGCCGCGUGGGGGAUGACGGCCUUCGGGUUGUAAACUCCUUUCGCGAGGGACGAAGCUUUUUGUGACGGUACCUAGAAAAGGAGCAACGGCUAACUACGUG